This 303-nucleotide ribosomal RNA is filed under the name uncultured bacterium. Its description in RNAcentral is "bacterial SSU rRNA". It matches the Rfam family "Bacterial small subunit ribosomal RNA", at positions 28 to 333 of the family's 1533-position model. The record is from RNAcentral.
GACGAACGCUGGCGGCGUGCUUAACACAUGCAAGUCGAGCGGUAAGGCCCUUUCGGGGGUACACGAGCGGCGAACGGGUGAGUAACACGUGGGUGACCUGCCCUCAGCUCUGGGAUAAGCCUGGGAAACUGGGUCUAAUACUGGAUAUGACUCCACGGUGCAUGUCGUGGGGUGGAAAGCCUUGUGCGGCUGAGGAUGGGCCCGCGGCCUAUCAGCUUGUUGGUGGGGUGAGGCCUACCAAGGCGACGACGGGUAGCCGGCCUGAGAGGGCGACCGGCCACACUGGGACUGAGACACGGCCCA